This 30-nucleotide non-coding RNA is filed under the name Rattus norvegicus (Norway rat). Lineage: Eukaryota; Metazoa; Chordata; Mammalia; Rodentia; Muridae. The record is from RNAcentral.
UGGUAUCGGUCCCAUAAUGUGCUUCCGAUG